Molecule: ribosomal RNA, 253 nt
Filed under: uncultured bacterium
Lineage: Bacteria
Description: partial 16S ribosomal RNA
Rfam family: Bacterial small subunit ribosomal RNA
Source: RNAcentral
UACGGAGGAUGCAAGCGUUAUCCGGAAUCAUUGGGCGUAAAGCGUCCGCAGGUGGCUGUGUAAGUCUGCUGUCAAAGAGCAAAGCUCAACUUUGUAAAGGCAGUGGAAACUACACGGCUAGAGUGCGUUCGGGGCAGAGGGAAUUCCUGGUGUAGCGGUGAAAUGCGUAGAGAUCAGGAAGAACACCGGUGGCGAAGGCGCUCUGCUAGGCCGCAACUGACACUGAGGGACGAAAGCUAGGGGAGCGAAUGGG